Molecule: ribosomal RNA, 447 nt
Filed under: uncultured organism
Description: partial 16S ribosomal RNA
Rfam family: Bacterial small subunit ribosomal RNA
Source: RNAcentral
UACACUCCUACGGGAGGCAGCAGUGGGGAAUAUUGGACAAUGGGCGCAAGCCUGAUCCAGCCAUGCCGCGUGAGUGAUGAAGGCCCUAGGGUUGUAAAGCUCUUUCACCGGUGAAGAUAAUGACGGUAACCGGAGAAGAAGCCCCGGCUAACUUCGUGCCAGCAGCCGCGGUAAUACGAAGGGGGCUAGCGUUGUUCGGAUUUACUGGGCGUAAAGCGCACGUAGGCGGACUAUUAAGUCAGGGGUGAAAUCCCGGGGCUCAACCCCGGAACUGCCUUUGAUACUGGUAGUCUUGAGUUCGAGAGAGGUGAGUGGAAUUCCGAGUGUAGAGGUGAAAUUCGUAGAUAUUCGGAGGAACACCAGUGGCGAAGGCGGCUCACUGGCUCGAUACUGACGCUGAGGUGCGAAAGCGUGGGGAGCAAACAGGAUUAGAAACCCCUGUAGUCC